Gracilinanus agilis (Agile Gracile Mouse Opossum) is the source of this 1322-nucleotide long non-coding RNA. RefSeq lists it as uncharacterized. NCBI's taxonomy places the organism in Eukaryota, Metazoa, Chordata, Mammalia, Didelphimorphia, Didelphidae. The record is from RefSeq and is a predicted model, not a curated record. The transcript is spliced from 5 exons.
CAGAAUCGAAGGCGUCAGACUCUCAUCUUCUCACUUUCCAUGGAGGCUAGAAGUCAUGGCAAGAGAUUGAUGAAGAUCAGGGUUGAGACUCACGAAAAUAAGAGAGAAGGCUCAUGACCCUGUAAGAAGCAAGGCUGGAAACUUGCAUUGACUAUGGAAGAGAUACAAGAGAAUGAUGAAACAUCCCCAAAUCUCCACUUCUCUUCUCUCAUUCAGAAGAUGAAGAUCAAGGAGGAAACAGAUGGAGCAAAAUGAAAAUCAUCUGACUCUCUUCUUCCCAUUUUCCCUGAAUUAUCCAUUGCAAAGAAAUCUUGAAGAUUAGGCAGGAGUCUCAUGGAAUUAAUAGAUUUGUCCCAGUGAAUAUUAUAGAAGAUCCUUGCCGCAACUCUCCUUUUCUCCUCUUCUCUUUGGAGGUUGGAGAUCAGGUAGGAGACACGUAAAACAUAAAGGCAUGCAAUCAGUUUUUGUGAAUCCAGAGUCUAGAGACUUAACAGGAAAUUCAUGGAGAUUAGGAAGGUGAAGAAAAGGGCAUUCUGGAAGGCACCCAUAUCUUCUCUUCUACCUUCUACUGGCAACUGGAGACCUGGAAGGAGACCAGAAGGUGAAUAUCAGUGAAAAGAUAUUUGGGGCAUAGUGGAAGGCACCAGAUUUUGUUCUUUCCACUUUCCUGCAAGGAGACCAUGUGUGAAACUUUUUAACCACAUGGCUGAUACAUCUGCUCUUCAAUCCUGAACCUGGAGACUUUUGAAGAUUUUCCCAAAGAUGAAGAUGGAGAAGCCAAGUGCAUAAUAGAAGGCCCCCCAGCUCUUCUCUGGAGAGACUAGGGAGCUGGCAGGAUACAAGAGAUCAGGUAGGAACCAGGCAAAGCACAAGAAAAAGCAAUUUCUUAUACUUGUGGAUCCAGAGUCUAGUUACUAUACAGAAAAUCCAUGGAGAUGAGGAUGGAGAGGCAAAGUGCAUGAUGGAAGGUGCUGAAAGUCCAGGUGGAAAUAGAUGGUGCAAAGGCACCAGAAGGCACCAGACUCUCUUCAUCCCAUUUUCCAUGGAGGCUAGAGUUAUAGCAGGAGACCUAUGAAGAUCAGACAGGAGAUGCAUGAAAAUCAGAGAAGAGUCCCAGAGAACAUGAGGGAAUGAACCUGACUCAACUCUUUCCUUCUCUCUUCCCUUUGGAGGCUAGCAAUUAGGUAAGAGCCAGUCAAGGUAUAAGAGAAAGCAAUCACUUAUUAUUGUGGAUCCAGUUUGUAGAGUUGGAAGGAAACACAUGGAGACGAUGCAUGAUAGAAGACAUCUACCUUUUUGUCUUCUCUCUCCUAUUGACAAAU